AAUAAACUAAAUAAAAUUACAUUUAAAUCCACCUUCAAUAAAAUUUUUCAAUUUCAUAUUCAUUUAAAUAAAUUUAUUGUAAUCCAUUAUAUUCUUAAUUAUAAUCUACAUCUUGAUCUGAAUUAAUUUUUAUUUUAAUUUUUAAAUAUUAUAAAUUAAUUAAAAAUAUUUUUUUAACAACGAUAUAUAAAAUUUUAAAUUAAGUAAAUUUAUUCGUGGAUUAUCAAUUAUUAAACAGAUUCCUCUAAAUGAACUAAAAUACCGCCAUAUUAUUUAAGUUUCAAUAAAUAAUUAUCUACUAUUUUAGUAUUAUAAUUUAAAUUUUUAAUAAUAGGGUAUCUAAU
RNAcentral lists this ribosomal RNA (344 nucleotides) under Danaus chrysippus aegyptius. RNAcentral's name for it is "partial 12S ribosomal RNA". Lineage: Eukaryota; Metazoa; Arthropoda; Insecta; Lepidoptera; Nymphalidae. RNAcentral also lists the same sequence under 2 other names. The record is from RNAcentral.